This 230-nucleotide ribosomal RNA is filed under the name uncultured bacterium. Its description in RNAcentral is "partial 16S ribosomal RNA". It matches the Rfam family "Bacterial small subunit ribosomal RNA", at positions 118 to 348 of the family's 1533-position model. The record is from RNAcentral.
UGAGGAACUUGUCCCGGUCUCUGGGAUAACAGUUGGAAACGACUGCUAAUACCGGAUGACGUCGGAACUUCGCAUGGAGUACUGACGAAAGGGUUACUGGAUCGGGAGAGCCUCGCGGCCUAUCAGCUUGUUGGUGGGGUAAUGGCCUACCAAGGCAUCGACGGGUAGCUGGUCUGAGAGGAUGAUCAGCCACACUGGGACUGAGACACGGCCCAGACUCCUACGAGAGG